UACGUAGGGUGCAAGCGUUGUCCGGAAUUAUUGGGCGUAAAGAGCUCGUAGGCGGCUUGUUGCGUCGACCGUGAAAACCCGGGGCUCAACUUCGGGCUUGCGGUCGAUACGGGCGGGCUAGAGUUCGGUAGGGGAGACUGGAAUUCCUGGUGUAGCGGUGAAAUGCGCAGAUAUCAGGAGGAACACCGGUGGCGAAGGCGGGUCUCUGGGCCGAUACUGACGCCGAGGAGCGAAAGCGUGGGGAGCGAACAGG
Molecule: ribosomal RNA, 253 nt
Filed under: uncultured bacterium
Lineage: Bacteria
Description: partial 16S ribosomal RNA
Rfam family: Bacterial small subunit ribosomal RNA
Source: RNAcentral